Long non-coding RNA from Physeter macrocephalus (sperm whale), 2285 nucleotides. RefSeq lists it as uncharacterized. The transcript has 5 exons. NCBI's taxonomy places the organism in Eukaryota, Metazoa, Chordata, Mammalia, Artiodactyla, Physeteridae. The record is from RefSeq and is a predicted model, not a curated record.
AGUCAAAGUCAUAGUCAUAUACAUUUUCGAGACAAAGGAUGGUACGUCAAAAUGACACACUGAUAUUUUACAUAAAGUUCACUAAAGAUACAUAGUCCAGACCUGCAUGUACAAGGGGAGAAGUAGGUCACUAUGACCCCUUACAGGAUUAGGAAAGGAAAAAUUAAUCUUCUAAGAAGUUAUGUUACUGGUAUCAGAAGGAGAAAAAGAAAACAUUGAUCUUUAUGGUGGAGCAGUCAUUUCCACCUUUGAGGAGGUCUGGUUAAUGUAUAAUGCAAAUGCACACAGCACUUUAGGGCUGGCCUAAUAGGGGCAAGGAAUAUGUUAUGCUUAAAAUUUCUUGUCCUGCCUUAAGACAUAGCUUUUAUUCCAUCACUGUUUUUCAAAUUUUUGUAAUACAAAGAAAAGGAUAGUCAUUCUCUUUCCAUCAAUGCCCUGUUAAAACUCUAAGUUGCCAAAAGUAGUCAAGAUACAAAUAAGUUUUGGGAAUAAGGCAAAUAAGACACUUGAACAUUAAGCACAACAGUACCAUAAAAGAAAGUAUCUGUGACCAACAGAAUUUAUCUCAGGAAAGGGAAAAGAGCAAAUUUCAAAAAUGCAUAAUGUACGAAAAUACACACAAAAUAAGAAAAUGAUUAUCAAGAAAAGCACUCAUUUCUCAGAGGUGACCCUACUGCAGCCUUAGUGAGCAACCUGUUGUUGUUGUUUUUUUUAACCAAAUUAGGCACAUAUGAGCAUAAUAUUAUAGGAACAUCUUUUAACUAAAUUACAUAUAUUGAGCACGUAUCUGGUCAAUAUUAUUUCACAUCAAUCAUUUUUUUCUAUGACAAUGAUUGUUAAAGUUUGGUCCUAUUCAUACAGUGAAAAAAGGAAUACAGCCAUCAAGAAGUUAGUGCAAUUUAAGUGAACAAAGGCAUAAAGGUUCAGCAGCUUUCCUAGGAAGCUUUCGUCCCCGCCCACGCCUGGGAACCCCCUUCACCGGGCCGCUCAGCCUCCUCAGAGUGCUGUUGGUGUGGACUGGGCUCGGGGCCAGCGGAGGGGGCGGCGGGCACAGUUUAGCGGGUGCUAAAGAUCUCUCCUCGCUGCUCCCCAGGCCCCGGCGCCACCGACGCAGCUCCCUUGGCGCGUCCUCCGGCCUAGCUCCACGUCGCUUGCGGAAUCCUCCACAGUCCUGCGUCUGGGCGCGUCCUCCUGCCUUGCUUGGCUGGAUCUGGAGGCGUCUUCCGGCGCAGCUCUGCCAGAGCGGCUAUGGAGGCGCGGGUCUGGGCGCAUCCUCAGCCGCCCAGGACGAGUCUGCUGGCGUGCUCCGAUGCCUGCGUCUUGGGGGACAGAUGCAGCCGGGAUCUAGGCACGUCUCCCGUGAGAUCCCAGCCUCCAUCCAUCAUCCCAGCCUCCUCCAUCAUCCUCCAUUGUGGAGUUUCUGUCCACAGGGGAGAAACUGUUCAGCCUGGGGCCCAUCUGUCUCCUGCUUCAGGCCCUGUGCUGAGGAAUCAGUGACGAACAAACACUGAUACAUUCCCUACGCUGGAGGAGCUUACGUCCAUGCAGUAGAUAUGUGCAACUAUUAUAAAACUAAUUCCUGGAAAUGAAGCUACUUGCUGAAGAAAGUUUAUCUAAUACAUACUCCCACCUGUAAUAAAGGAGAAUGUGCACUUCCUCACGACUUGUACACCAGCUCAUUUAUAAACAAAGUGUGAUCUAAUUGCUGUUUUACAACAUUGAGAACCCAGUGUGCAAGGGCCUUUACUUACACAGCUGGAAUUGACAUUUAAUUUAUUCCUCACAACAACCACAUGAGGUUGGAAAGUCCAAGAUCAAGGUGCCAGCAGAUCCUGUGUCUGGUGUGCUUUUGCCUUUUGGUUUGGGAAGAAGACCAUCUUCCUAUUGUAUCCUCACACGGUGUAGAGAAGAGAGGGGAAGCAAACUCUCUCAUGUCUCUUUUAUAAGGGCUCUAAUCCCAACAUGAGGGCUUCACCCUCAAGACCUAAUUACCUCCCAAUGGCCCCAUCUCCAAAUACCAUCAUAUUGGGGAUUAAUAUUUCAACAUACAAAUUCUGGGGGAUACAUUCAGUCCCUAGCUCUAAUGAGCCACCCUGGUUGGCAACACAUUGCACAUAUUGUCACACAUCUUUACAGGAGGAAUUAAACCUCCUGCAACUUCACUUGGAGAGAACGCUUGGAAGCUGUGCCUGGAUUCCUCCAAAGUCCCCCACCUGCCCAUGUGCCUUUUCCCUCUUCUGACUUUCCUUUGCUGACUUUCCUUUGUAUCCUUUAUUGUAAUAAAC